Long non-coding RNA from Brassica rapa (field mustard), 2307 nucleotides. RefSeq lists it as uncharacterized. NCBI's taxonomy places the organism in Eukaryota, Viridiplantae, Streptophyta, Magnoliopsida, Brassicales, Brassicaceae. The record is from RefSeq and is a predicted model, not a curated record.
UAUGAAUCAUUAAACUAAUAACACAUGAUUUUAAUACAGAUUUGAAAAUCACUGAACCAAUAACACUAGAUUUAGUUCGGAUUUUCAAAUCCAUUAAAAUACAACAACCAUUAAGUAUCUCUCCAGUUUAACUGAAAAUAGAAUUAUUAAAGAGAUAACAACUAGAGAAAUUCUAUAAGAUAGCAAUUUUUAAGUUUUUGUCACAUAAAUAGCAUUCAAUGAGAAAAAUGACCAAAAUAAAUUUUAUUAAAAAGAUAAAAGUAUAUUUUCACUCUAGGAUUAACUAAUCUAGACUUAGCAUUCAAUGAGAAAACUGCGAUGUACUUGUAGAACAUGGAAUGCCUUAUCCAAAACUCAGGUUUUUGGUAAAGAAGCAGCAAGGAAUCAGUUUCUAGGGUUCACAGUGAUUAAUGGUAGGGUUUGUUCCUUGAAACUUGAACUGCAAGGAAUCCAUAACGAAGGAGACUUGGUUCAUCAAUCUACAAAGAAAAUGAGUAAACUUGAUCAAACCAUUAUUGAUCAAGUUUUCCACAGUGGUGGCUUAUUGUUAUGCAUCGAUGGAAACAGUAACCUCGUGGUGUGGAACCCGUAUCUGGGAAAAACCAGAUGUAUUCCACCUGCGAGUAGUGAUAUCGUAUUACAUGAUAUGUUUGGUUUCGGAUACGACAAAGAACAAUCGUAACCACAAAAUCUUAAGGUUUUUCUAUGACAAAGACCACCCCAUUUAAUUAGUAUUCUUAUUAACAUUUUACCAAAAAAAAAAAAAAGACCACCCCCAUUUUCUAUUUCGAAUUGUUCGAUUUUAAGACUAGUUCUUUGAGGUUUCUUGACAUCGAACCAGACUUUGAUCUAGAUUUUUGUUAAAGUGGUGUGUGGAAACACUUACUUUGUUGCUCAACAUAACAUAGCAAAGCUUGUAAACGUUUUACUCUGUUUUGAUUUCACUACAGAGAGAUUUUGUCAUCCUCUGCCGUUUCACUACGCAGCUGAGUUUGAAAACGUGGCUCUAUCUUGUGUUGGAGAGGAGAAGCUGGCUGUGUUGUAUAAACAUGAAGGCACAAUGGAGAUUUGGAUUACGACUAACAUUGAGCACCAUGCCGUAUCCUGGAGCAACUUUUUGAAAGUGGAGAUGAUACCCCUCAACGAUUUUCGGGAUGACUAGUUAUGACACCGAAACUUUAACUGAGAGCUCCUUCAUUGACGAGGAGAAGAAAAUUGCUGUAGUAUGUAAUGUAUUCAAUCAUAAACCAACCAAGAGCCACCAGAUAUGUUACACUCUCAAACCGCUCACAUCAUUGGACAAGACGGAUACCUGAAAUCUGUGCCUAUAGGAGAAUCAAGAAACCAUGUACAGUACAUACUAUGAAUCAAGUGUAGUGCAGUUAGGAAUCAACCAAGAGGAAACACAAAGAUGGCUUUUAUCAAAGGAAAAGAAAGAAAACAUAAGGGGGCAAGUUUAGUUGUAUUAUUUUAGUUCUUUAGAGCAUGAUUAUCGCGUUUUUUUAUAAGUAUCUCUUAAUUGCUGACUAGGAUAAAAAAUAAAUAAAAAAUGGGAAUUACGUUAAGGAACGUAGCUUAAUUAAGCACAAAAAGAGCCGCAUCUUGUGGACACGCAUCACGUUGAUAUGGUUCUGGGAGGAGAAUACGAGGGGAGAAAAAAAUCCAUUUUUCACUCGUCGACGGAGUGGAAACAAUCGUGGGUGAUCUCCUCGAAGAUGAAGCAAAGCGGCGGUGGCCUCCUCUCCGACCACAAAAUCAUAGGGUACAGAAAAUUCUCGUCUCUGGCUUCCUCUUUAUGCCUCUCGCUUCCUCUGUAUGACAACAAAACUCUCAUCUCUCGCUUCCUCUUUACGCCUCCAUAACACUCUUCUCGCUGGCACUCCUCUCAAGCCUUAACGCCUCCGUAGCAGACAGCUUCAGGGUAAGCGUUUGAGUAUUCUGAGCUUGAAAGAGCUGCAACACCUUGAGAAGCAGCUAGAUGUCGCAUUAAUAUCUGUGAGAGAGCGAAAGGAACUAAUGUUGACUAAACAGCUUGAAGAAUCACGCCUGAAGGAACAGCGAGCAGAGCUAGAAAACGAGACCUUACGUGGACAGGUACAAGAACUGAGGAGUUUUCUCCCGUCGAUCAACCAACACUAUGCUCCAUCCUACAUCAGAUGCUUCGCUAUAGAUCCCAAUACCUCACUUUUAAACAACACUUCCUUGGGAGACAUUAACUGCAGCCUCCAGACCUCCAAAUUUCAUUCAUGUAAUUAAAAUUGGUACAUUCAUGCAAUUAAAAUGUAUAAUAAUUUUUUUUGUAAGAAC